This 90-nucleotide non-coding RNA is filed under the name Candidatus Scalindua. Its description in RNAcentral is "c-di-GMP sequence". It matches the Rfam family "c-di-GMP-I riboswitch aptamer". From Rfam's summary of the family: GEMM was predicted in a large-scale screen for bacterial structured RNA regulatory elements. Genes associated with GEMM are involved in a diverse array of functions, including chemotaxis regulation, signal transduction, secretion and chitin. The record is from RNAcentral. Lineage: Bacteria; Pseudomonadati; Planctomycetota; Candidatus Brocadiia; Candidatus Brocadiales; Candidatus Scalinduaceae.
UCGAGAUAAGGGCAAACCGUGAGUGAUCGCGAGACGCAAAGUGAAGGGUCUUGAUACCGUCGUUAUAACAAAGACAGCCUUACUGCCAAA